Cyprinus carpio carpio is the source of this 1701-nucleotide long non-coding RNA. NCBI's taxonomy places the organism in Eukaryota, Metazoa, Chordata, Actinopteri, Cypriniformes, Cyprinidae. The record is from Ensembl.
AGAAUAACCACUUGUUUUCGCUCAAAUGCAGCUUAUAAUGCACCUCUGAAAACCCUUGUUGCAGAGUCAAUGUUCUGGGAAAUGGAAUCAGCCCUUACUGUAAGAGAAUGCCCCAUAGGCUCAAUUAACCUGCCAGCACAGCGCUCUCUUCUCCCUGUGUUAAUUAGAUGGCUUCGGUGCCUGCCAGCACAGUGCUGAGACGUCGCCGUGCACCAUGCAAGAACUGCCACCGGGGCCACGGGACACUCCCCACCCACAGCUGCCCACUGAUGUCAUCUCUAAAGCAGUAAUAGUGACCCACUUCCAAUUCCAGCAGAAUUCCGGAUGCGCCCCAUUUCAAGCGUCCUCAGGUGCAUGGUGUUGCGCUCUUGAAUCGGGCUCUUUCAGCGAUUUGUCACGGUUCUGUUGGGCCCUGCUGCGACGGCACGUGCCAGAUCACCGCGGCGGCUCUGCUCCCCGUGUGCCAGACGGCCUCUCGUCGUCCUGACAGCCCACCACUGCUGUCACCCGCCCUGCGCCCGGACACCGGCUCCCGGCCCUGGCAACACGAGCGUAACCACAACCCCUACCCAGAAUAGAUGCAGACACAGGGGCCAGACAGAAACCCCCAGAGGACACACACACGCUGUACCCUGCAGCUCCACAGACUGUUCAUUUGCCCGAGUCGGGAUGAGACAAGACAUGUGCAGGUUGUGCCCGUAGCGGUCUGGCCUGAUCAGCAGUCUGACAGUGACGGGAGGAGGCGGGCAGGUGGGGGAGCCAGAUUCAUUUGCAUAAUUAUGGACGUGCUUCCUGAAACACAGCCCCGCCCACCACCGACCUUUCAACAACCCGAAUACUGAAGAGCACAGAGAAACACAGCCGUGCCAGAUAAGAGCUGCCACGCACCAGACCGCACGCCUCCGUCCGCCCGCUCAACCAGUGUUUACUUCUGAGGAAAGACAGCAGGCGGAGAAAGGGACGACAAACAGACGAGUGCGACCUGCAGCAGGCAGCAUGCACCAGCUCCAUGGAUCAGACCUCAGAUGAUGGAUACUAGCUGAAAUGUGUCCAGUUAAAUCAUUAGGACACACACUACAGGCCAGUCAUUCUGAGAGGCAAGUAAAGUCAACAUCCAGCCUCUCAAUGAUGCUGAACUAAUGCUGAUUGAUCACACUGCUGAUGCCUGUGUGUGUGUGUGUGUGUGUGUGUAUGAUCGGUUUCAGCUGUAAAUCAUAUUGGCUUGUUAUUUGCUGUAUCUUCAGAUGCCAUUACCUUGUUUUGUUCUGGUUUGUAAAUGUUGGCCUCAGUGUGCAUGUGUGUGUGUGUGUGUGUGUGUGAAAAGGCUUUAUCUGUUGUUAUCUUCACCGGCCCGCUUUGCAGCUGCUCUCCACCUGUCACUCACACACACACAGGGAGUGGUGCACAUAGUCUGGGGCUGCGCGCAUGUGCAUACAUGCGCGUUAGUUAGUGAUUACGGGGUCACAGAGGGUUGCAUUCUGUAAUAAAAUACACUGAUGGAAUGUACGCAAAAAAUAAUUAAUACUCAAGACGAGUAUUGCAUGUGAAAUUUCAAGUAGUGAUGUGACUUACUUCAUCAAAAGCAUUUUAACAGCAUUUUCUAAUUUUUGUAUAAGUAUGUGUGUGUGUGUGCAGAUUUUGAGCUCAUGCUACUAUAGACCAUGUAUAUAUACAUACAUACAAACAUACAUACAUGCGCGC